UACGGAGGGUGCGAGCGUUAUCCGGAAUUACUGGGUUUAAAGGGUGCGUAGGCGGCCAUGUAAGUCAGGAGUGAAAGUUUGCGGCUCAACCGUAAAAUUGCUUUUGAUACUGCAUGGCUGGAAUCAGGAUGAGGUCAGCGGAAUGUGGCAUGUAGCGGUGAAAUGCAUAGAUAUGCCAUAGAACACCAAUGGCGAAGGCAGCUGGCUAGACCUGUAUUGACGCUGAGGCACGAAAGCCAGGGGAGCAAACGGG
This 253-nucleotide ribosomal RNA is filed under the name uncultured bacterium. Its description in RNAcentral is "partial 16S ribosomal RNA". It matches the Rfam family "Bacterial small subunit ribosomal RNA", at positions 524 to 776 of the family's 1533-position model. The record is from RNAcentral.